Molecule: ribosomal RNA, 253 nt
Filed under: uncultured bacterium
Lineage: Bacteria
Description: partial 16S ribosomal RNA
Rfam family: Bacterial small subunit ribosomal RNA
Source: RNAcentral
GACGUAGGGCGCGAGCGUUGUCCGGAUUUAUUGGGCGUAAAGGGUGCGUAGGUGGCAAAGUAAGUUGGAUGUGAAAUCCUGGGGCUCAACCUCAGAAUUGCAUUCAAUACUGCUUAGCUAGAGAGCUGUAGAGGAGACUGGAAUUUACGGUGUAGCAGUGAAAUGCGUAGAUAUCGUAAGGAACGCCAGUGGCGAAAGCGAGUCUCUGGGCAGCAUCUGACACUGAGGCACGAAGGCCAGGGGAGCAAACGGG